Molecule: ribosomal RNA, 492 nt
Filed under: uncultured bacterium
Lineage: Bacteria
Description: partial 16S ribosomal RNA
Rfam family: Bacterial small subunit ribosomal RNA
Source: RNAcentral
AGUGAACGCUGGCGGUAGGCCUAACACAUGCAAGUCGAACGGCAGCACAGUAAGAGCUUGCUCUUACGGGUGGCGAGUGGCGGACGGGUGAGGAAUACAUCGGAAUCUACUUUUUCGUGGGGGAUAACGUAGGGAAACUUACGCUAAUACCGCAUACGACCUACGGGUGAAAGCAGGGGAUCUUCGGACCUUGCGCGAUUGAAUGAGCCGAUGUCGGAUUAGCUAGUUGGCGGGGUAAAGGCCCACCAAGGCGACGAUCCGUAGCUGGUCUGAGAGGCUGAUCAGCCACACUGGAACUGAGACACGGUCCAGACUCCUACGGGAGGCAGCAGUGGGGAAUAUUGGACAAUGGGCGCAAUCCUGAUCCAGCCAUACCGCGUGGGUGAAGAAGGCCUUCGGGUUGUAAAGCCCUUUUGUUGGGAAAGAAAAGCAGCAGGUUAAUACCCCGCUGUUCUGACGGUACCCAAAGAAUAAGCACCGGCUAACUUCGUG